AUGCUGUGGAUGUGUCUGCUCUUGGUUUUGCUGCAGAUUUUGUUUUAUGGAUGGACUUGGCUCUGUCCUUCGGGAAGAGAUGCAGCCCUCAGCAGCCUUCGUUCCCCAGGAUGGACAGAAAGAAAUGGUGGAGCUAUGUGUGAUUUUCUCAUCUCUCAGGAUGCAAGCCUGCCACUGACCUUCACUGUGACCUUGGGCAAGUCAAUGACAGUGAAUUUUCAAGAGCUGAGCAUUGACCACCAGAGUCAGCUCAAAAUGCAUCAGCAUAGUGCCAAAUUAAUACGGCUUGGAUGCAGUCCAGUGGGCUGUGCUCUAAGUAUUUGUCUAAAAGCAUCACAAGAGAUGCUUAUCAUGGAGACCCUUUGGAAAUCUACAUGCAGGAGGAUGUCCCAGACCUUUAAGGCUCUGCUGUACCCUGAGAUGCACAAGGAUUCAUUUCUAAUUGUAUGA
RNAcentral lists this long non-coding RNA (450 nucleotides) under Anser cygnoides (Swan goose). RNAcentral's name for it is "lncRNA (ENSACDG00005015368.1)". Lineage: Eukaryota; Metazoa; Chordata; Aves; Anseriformes; Anatidae. The record is from RNAcentral.